GGUGGACCGCCCGGCAGGAAGAGAGGGGAAGGCUGAGCAGUGAAGGGGUCCCCAAGUCAGCCAAGGCAGAGUUCCCAGGUACGAAUUCAGAGCCUGACGGUACUGGGCGGGGAGGUAGCCCCCACCUUCCUGAAGCCCCUUCCUUACCUCUGGGAGCGUGAGGCUGGAGACGCCUGGGUAGGUCUGAGGGUGAGCCCUGGGUGUGGGGUAGCUCCACCCUGCAAGUGCCUAGAGGCCCCACACCUCCAGCCUCCCUCUGAAUUCAGGGUUCUCUGUCCUGAGGCUGCCCAGGGGAGCCUGGCUGGGGCGAGAUGGGCCGGACAUGGGCCUGGGCGAGUCUCGCCACAGAGGGGCGCCGCUGAGCAGCCAGGCCUCCUGAGGAGUGGACACUCUCCCGGCAGGCCCUGGGAUCCGCCACCCACAAGCACACUUGGAGGCAGCAUCCUUGCAGGACUCGCGCCGGAGCCUGAGCCCUCCAGCCAGCCCAGCGCGCCACCGCCCUUCUGUCCCCAGCCACCCACGAGAGAAUCUGGGUCGCCAGGGCCUUGUCCUUCACCAAGGCAAAGCCGGCUCAGCCUCAGAGCCACAGGCGAGAGCGCCUGUCUGCAUGAGUGUCAUGAGGACUGGACAUGGGUCUAUCAGGACCAUCGGCAUGAUGUCAGCCAAGGAUCUCGUGGCCUGCCUCUGCCAAGGGGGGACCAGCACCUUGUCCUGAGCACUUCCAGCCUCCCAUUGCCUUCAACCUGGCUGCAUUCAGCUGCCAUGCCCCUACCUCCUGAUGUGGCCAGCACCCUCCAGGACUUCAUCUAGGUGCACCCAAAGGCCGAGGACGUUGCUGGCCAGCAGGAAAUUCCUGGUGCAUCCAGGAAGACUUCCAAGAGGUGGUGGAACAGGGGGCGCCACACCCAGACAGCUGUGUGUAACUGUGCAGCUUCGGGCUGCUGCAGGUGCUGGCCGGACUGUGUUCUGGGCACACUGGACUGUGUCACUGCAUGGAGGCUGUUGCCGGAGGAGGAAGUGCAGGCCCCAAGGCCUAUGUGCCUGGAAACCAGCUGGGGCUGCUGCAGGAGGAGGGCUGCAGGAUGCUCCAGCUCAGACCUGACUCAGGGUUUUAGAGGGCACAGGGCAUAAAGCUGUGGACAUAGACAGCCCUACUGCGCAGGAAGAGCAUAAACCAGCCAGAGGGCAUGCAUGGGGGCUGCUGUUGCAUUCUGGUCUCCUUUGAGGUAGGGAAAGAUGUGUUUCUUUCUAUUUUAUGGGUGAGCAAACUGAGGCAGAGUGGUGGAGUGAUUUCC
This 1295-nucleotide long non-coding RNA is filed under the name Homo sapiens (human). RNAcentral describes it as "non-protein coding lnc-PARP4-1:1". The record is from RNAcentral. Lineage: Eukaryota; Metazoa; Chordata; Mammalia; Primates; Hominidae.